AUUGAACGCUGGCGGCAUGCUUUACACAUGCAAGUCGAGCGGCAGCGCGGGGGCAACCCUGGCGGCGAGCGGCGAACGGGUGAGUAAUGCAUCGGAACGUAUCCUCGAGUGGGGGAUAACCCAGCGAAAGUUGGGCUAAUACCGCAUGAGCUCUGAGGAGGAAAGCGGGGGACCUGCGAGGGCCUCGCGCUGGAGGAGCGGCCGAUGUCCGAUUAGCUAGUUGGUGGGGUAAAGGCUUACCAAGGCGACGAUCGGUAGCUGGUCUGAGAGGAUGAUCAGCCACACUGGGACUGAGACACGGCCCAGACUCCUACGGGAGGCAGCAGUGGGGAAUUUUGGACAAUGGGGGCAACCCUGAUCCAGCCAUGCCGCGUGAGUGAAGAAGGCCUUCGGGUUGUAAAGCUCUUUCGGACGGAACGAAAUGGGCGGGACAAAUACUCCUGUCUGAUGACGGUACCGUAAGAAGAAGCACCGGCUAACUACGUG
RNAcentral lists this ribosomal RNA (486 nucleotides) under uncultured bacterium. Its description in RNAcentral is "partial 16S ribosomal RNA". It matches the Rfam family "Bacterial small subunit ribosomal RNA", at positions 29 to 507 of the family's 1533-position model. The record is from RNAcentral.